Peromyscus californicus insignis is the source of this 4619-nucleotide long non-coding RNA. RefSeq lists it as uncharacterized. The transcript is spliced from 3 exons. Lineage: Eukaryota; Metazoa; Chordata; Mammalia; Rodentia; Cricetidae. The record is from RefSeq and is a predicted model, not a curated record.
CGAAGCAGAAGUCUCCAGAGCCUUGGUGGGAGCUAUUGGUUGGGCAUGUCUGAGAAAAGAGAGAAGGAGAGAGUGGACAGGGGAGAGGGACCAUGGUGUUUCUCCAAGAAUGGGGUCACCAAGGGAAAAGGGUGUAUGUCUCCAGACACACAUGCUCUUUGGGCCUGCGUGAAGGCUUUUAUACCUGAGUUCUGAUGCCACUGAAAGACGUCACCAGACCUUCCCACUAGGCACCGUGGAGCAGCACACAGCAGCUGCGUCGUUCCUUACACCCACACAGCUCUGCUUGGAGUGCCAGACUGACUUCCCUCCCCUGCCUUAGGCAUAUGAUGCCUGGAGCAUCAAAAAUUCGUGUGAGCACAACAGGACUAAAAAAAAAAUUGGGAUUUUAACUUUAUCUUAGACAAACUGUCUAGGAAGGCGAGGUGCUCCUCAUAAGCUAGGGCAAGCUUAGCUCUGUCUGUCUCACUUAGAGGCAAUGAAGGGGAAACAAAUGGUCCUUGAUGAUCAUGGGCCAUUAAUAGACUGGAAACGAUGCAGGCCUGAACUGUCACCUAGCUGUAGCGAUCUGGUUAGUAACACGGACUGGACAUCAGGCUAACGGUAAAUAGGCCGUUUCUAAAGUGGCUGAGAAUUCCUAUUGCGGUGAGCCACAGAACAUUCCCCUGAAUGGACGACACUUUUACACUACCCAAAUAGGGCCAUGAACAUUCUGAAUCAUUUUAAUAAAGCAGCUCAACCACUCAGGUGGAGGAGAGUGAUUUUGCUGAGACCGUCUCAUCCUAUGUGUUGCCUCCCCAGAAGGCUCUGCUCCAUUACCUCAACCGGCCAGCCUGCACAGACCCGGGAUUUCGUCACUAGCAGCUAAGAUAACGGCACCAGGUGUUUGUCACUGGGGCAGGACUGCCUGCCCUUCAGACAGGUCAACCUUGAGGGUCUAAGCGAGAAGCCCUCUACCUAUUCAGCAAAAGGAAGAUGAAGACAGCAUCCCAGCUUCCCGCACACCUCUAAGAUGGAAGUCGGUCAAGCCAGAAGCAGACUCGUCUGAAAAGGUGACUUAACUUGUUAAACACUUUUGAUGAGGCGAGGACUUUGCUUCAAGGAAAAAAAAAUAAAACAGCCUGGAGCCUUUCCCCUAAAGUUACAGGGACCGGAGUCAUCGCAGGUCCCAGGCAGCACUGGCAGCCUGAGAAAGUGAUAUUUAUCACACUAGUGUCAGUAUUCCGCUACACAUAUAAAAUUGUUUCUAUGACUGGACAUAUACUAUGAAGAUAAUUAAUACCCUCCUGCCAAGCCCCCACAGCUCUGAUUUGAUGAUUCUGGUUAAUGUCUUAAGUGAUGUUCCAGAGUUUCUUCAGUAUGGACAAGCACAUUCAAAUGUAUUUUGUUUUCCUGUCUUAUGAAACAGGCAGCUUACUUUACAUGGCGGCUUCCUGUUUUCUGUAUACUGGGAGCCUCUGCUCCGCAGCAGGAUACCUGGAGGUAUCUGGACACUUUUUGCACUUUAAAGUUUUUGACAAAAUUCACUUGCUGUGGAUAUUGUUCUGUAUAAAUAAAACAUUGAUUGGCCAGUGGCCAGGCAGGAAGUAUAGGCGGGACAAGGAGAGAGGAGAAUUCUGGGAAGUGGAAGACUGAGAGAGACACUGCCAGCUGCCUCCAUGACAAGCAGCAUGUGAAGAUGCCGGUAAGCCACAAGACACGUGACAAGGUAUAGAUUUAUAGAAAUGGAUUAAUUUAAGAUAUAAGAACAGUUAGCAAGAAGCCUGCCACGGCCACACAGUUUGUAAGCAAUAUAAGUCUCUGUGUUUACUUGGUUGGGUCUGAGCCGCUGUGGGACUGGCGGGUGAGAGAGAUUUGUCCUGACUGUGGGCCAGGCAGGAAAACUCUAGCUACAUUCACUGUUGCCCAACUUGUGGUUCACAUAUAUUCAGCAUGUGCCUCUUACUCUUCCUCCAUCCUCAGUGGCUGCCAAAGCCUGCUGGAUCCACAGCACCCUGAGAACUCUUACGCCCUCCUGUCUUCCUUGCUGCACCUUAGUGAUGCAGCAGACUGAAGUCCCAACAUCCCUUGUCACUCUCUUGGGCUCCAAGAACAGGCUACCUCCCCCUGCCUCUUGAGGAAUACUGUCCACUAGCUCAGAAACUACAGAAGUGUUCAGCUCUGCCUUCCCAGAGGGGCGCCAGGUGCUUCAGAACUCAUUUUCUGCGUUGGUCCAGAUGAGUUAGAGGAAGGGCAGCACUCACAACUCCAGGUGCUGAUCUGGAUUCCAGGUUGCACAAUCUCUGUUCUGUUUGCCUGAUGCUCUGGACCUGUCACAGCCAACCUGGACCCAUUUCACAAGAACAGAGAGUGCUGUGCCUUUCCGAUCAUCACUGUGCCUCUGCUGGAUGGCAGAAAUCAAGCAGUCCUGGUACCUGGCUCUGUUAUUCUUCAGAGUCUCAGGGGAUAAGAGGAGGCUGCAAAGCUUUUGAAGAAAUGCAGAUUCCUGGGCUGUACCUGUACCCACCAGUCUGUUCCCCAGGAUCCUGGAGGGUCAUUGAGCACAUAGGUUUCUAAUUUAUCCAGUUGGCCCUAAUGGCUUCUAAGAAGGAAGAUAUCUGCUGUGUUUCCCAGCCUCCCAGCCUGUCAUGACUGAGAAAAUGAGUAGCGUUUUUGGAAAUAUGUAUAUUCUGGUAGUGUCUCAUUUUAGAAUAAGUGUGAAGGGAAUAAUCAUUUCUCAUGCUCUCUGGACUACAAUAGGGAUCUAUCCUAAGCAGCAUGGCACUUCGAAAUGAAAAAGAAAACAACCAGAGGACUGAAUAACCAAAGGAAAAGCACCCCAGCUUUCCUCUGAAAACCAUGGGAUGUGACAGAGUUGGGUGUCUUGUUAGAAAUUUAAGUUCAAGUGCAGCUGACUCUCUGAUCACACUGCUCUGCUGGGUCCUGGAAGUGCCUCUCCAUCUCUGACAGUUCCUCACUGCAUUGGGUGAUUUUAGGACUUGCUGUGAUUGGUAUAGGACUGGUAACACCAAGGCUUUCAUGGCUAUGCAGGGCUGCUGGAGAACCAACUGUUUUUGUUGAAGGCCAUGGGGAAGGCUGAGUGUGUGAUAAAAGCUGCAGGGACCGUGGAACAAUGCCUCACCAGAGAUAUAAAAAUGGAGGAGAUGAUAGGCAGCUGAUAUAUCUCUGCUAUGGGGCAAUUUUUGGUGAAUUACGAGUUUGCAGGUUAUGGGGAAGAAGAGAUGACUCAGUGGCUCAGAAUGCCCACCAUUCUUGCAGAGGACCUGAGUGUGGCAGCUCACAACUGGAAGCAACUCUAGCUCCUGGGAGAUCUGAUAUUUUCUUCUGGCCUAUGAGAGCACAUGUAUAUACUCAUUCCCCGCCCCCCCCCCACAAGUACAAAUAAUUUUUUAAAAAGAGUAUACAGAAUAAUUGAUAAAAUGGUCAUAGUUAAAACACCUUUUAUUCACAUCUCAUGAAAUUUGACUUUGCAACUCUCCCUAUACAGAGGUAGAAUCUAUGUGUUUCCCUCUUGAAUUAGGGCUGAUCUUGUGCUUAACUCUGGCCAACAGAAUGUGACUGAGAUGCUGAAGGCCAGAGCAAGCCUAGGCCUCCAAAGUCCUUGCAUGUCAUUCACUCUCCCAGAAUCCAGCUUCCGACAGUGACAGGUGUCUGAGUAAGCUUGAAGAGGAUUAGAGACCCUGGCUAGCAGAGCCACAUCAGGCCAUUCUCUUCAAUAGGGACUACUGACUGAGAACAACAGACAGAGAAGUUACUGUGUAAGAAGAAAACCCACAGAACGAGCUUCCUUUUCAUGGAAUGAAACAGGGUGGGAUGACAGUUGGUGAAACGCUGGGUGCUGCAUCACUCUGAUCUGCUGUCACUCUGGGGGAAGGCAGGAACCCCGCUGCCUUCAUCAGUGCUAGCUCUGCAUCAUGGGAGUGAGGCUGAAGAAGCAAAACGAAGUCUUUUCCUUCCUCAUCUUAGAGCAAGAAAUUACUCAUCACUGCCCAGGGAACACUGGCUUGGAGUUUUUCUUUCAUUAAAAAGCCACUCAUUUUUGCUAAUAAAUCACAUGGCAUGGGUGUAGGAAAAGAAACCAGCUCAAAUGAAAUGCCCUCCACUGAAGAGUUAACAGUUAGUCAUUAUCAAGACACAUUGGAACAACCAGAAGUGACUGCAAUGCUUAGUGGCCAGAGAGUGUUUUCACAGUGUGUUCAACUUUGGGAAAGUCCAUCUGGGUUCUCAGAAUGCCUUCUGAAACAUUAUCCCUCUUGCCCUGUCUGUAGUUCCGGGUUUCCUAAUUAUGAUGCUGAUUAUUACUUGUGUGAUUUCGGGGUGGGGGGAGAACAGGGGAGAAUAAGGUUGAUUGUUAAGGUGCUGAGAACCUGAGGAUGAAGACUGGAGGAGAGUUCCUCUCACACAGCAUCAAGACCUCUUGACAUACCAUGGUGAGGCCACCUGGGCCCUGUUACUGGAUACCUUAGAGGUGGGGAUGCAGCUGCCUACUGAGGGGACAGCCCUGCUGGGAUGACCCGGAAAAGUAUCUGAUUUCACCAUUGUUCUUUCUGGGCCUGUCAUGAAGCCAAGCAUUGUGGAAGUUUCUAUUGAAUGAGAUAAUAAAACCGGCUUAAACAGUU